RNAcentral lists this ribosomal RNA (461 nucleotides) under uncultured bacterium. RNAcentral describes it as "bacterial SSU rRNA". It matches the Rfam family "Bacterial small subunit ribosomal RNA", at positions 917 to 1382 of the family's 1533-position model. The record is from RNAcentral.
GGACCCGCACAAGCGGUGGAUGAUGUGGAUUAAUUCGAUGCAACGCGAAAAACCUUACCUGCGCUUGACAUGCCAGGAACCCCGAAGAGAUUUGGGGGUGCCCGAAAGGGAGCCUGGACACAGGUGCUGCAUGGCUGUCGUCAGCUCGUGUCGUGAGAUGUUGGGUUAAGUCCCGCAACGAGCGCAACCCUUAUCCUUAGUUGCUACGCAAGGGCACUCUAAGGAGACUGCCGGUGACAAACCGGAGGAAGGUGGGGAUGACGUCAAGUCCUCAUGGCCCUUAUGCGCAGGGCUUCACACGUCAUACAAUGGUCGGUACAGAGGGUCGCCAACCCGCGAGGGGGAGCCAAUCCCAGAAAGCCGAUCGUAGUCCGGAUUGCAGUCUGCAACUCGACUGCAUGAAGUCGGAAUCGCUAGUAAUCGCGGAUCAGCAUGUCGCGGUGAAUACGUUCCCGGGUCUU